Molecule: long non-coding RNA, 910 nt
Organism: Capsicum annuum
Lineage: Eukaryota; Viridiplantae; Streptophyta; Magnoliopsida; Solanales; Solanaceae
Exons: 3
Source: RefSeq, a predicted model, not a curated record
CUAGUACUCACCUUUAUUAUGAUACUAACAUUACAUACAACUUAUAGACCGCCCCAAUCACACUUCACAUUACAUACAACGUGGCAUGAAAUAUAACAUUGAGUUUGCAAGAAUAUAUUCUGGAGAAUAAGUAAAGUGAUAGCAGCAGAACAAGUUCCUCACCACUGUGGAGAAUAAAGUGUUUGGGAGAAUAAAGUGAAUGGUUUUAAUAAUCUUGGAAUUCGAUUCUUGUUUCUGUUAGUGGUCUUUAAACUACUGCUUUAGCCAAAUAAUUUCUGAAUCCUAUAACUUACAUUUGUUCAACAUCUAACAAUCUUCGAAUUUGAUUCUUCUUUCUUCUGUUGAUGAACUUUCAAAAUACUUGUUUAGCCAAUUUCUUCUAACUUACUAUUUCUCAAACAAGAAGUGUUCUAAUAAUCAUGAUUUGCUGAACAUUAAGUGGCCAAAAGGUAGCUGAAAAGAUACUCGACAAGAAAGAGCUAGAAUUCUACAAAUGGGACGGCGACCUUUCUCAGCUGCUGCAGAAUGUUAGAGAUAAGCUGAACAAAGUUGCAGAAAACUGGACUAGAAACGAGAAGAACCAUUGUCUGGAAGAGAUAGAGAAGUCUUUCAAGUUCUCCGGGGCCAUCCUCCGAUUGAUAUUCUCUUGAUGCACAACUUUACGCUUUGUUUCCUGUUAACUUGUACAUUCGAUGGUCGAAACCUGAAAAUUUCUGUGAAUAGUUGUGUUUCUUUUUGCGUUUAAAUUCUGUCUAUGGUGUAUAAUAACUUGAUUAUAAUUCAAGUGUUACAUCAUUACUCCAUUCUCAAUGUUGCUGAUACUUAACUAUGGGCUGUCCAGCCUCAUAGAAAGCGAUGUUUUCUUUUUUCCUCUAUUGUAAUGUGGUGCUUGUAUAUCGUGUUUGGCCUA